RNAcentral lists this ribosomal RNA (680 nucleotides) under Staphylinidae sp. NZAC 03013936. RNAcentral's name for it is "eukaryotic LSU rRNA". It matches the Rfam family "Eukaryotic large subunit ribosomal RNA", at positions 396 to 849 of the family's 3401-position model. Lineage: Eukaryota; Metazoa; Arthropoda; Insecta; Coleoptera; Staphylinidae. The record is from RNAcentral.
UACGUGAAACCGUUUAGGGGUAAACCUGAGAAACCCGAAAGUUCGAAAGAGGAGAUUCAGCGUGUCUCGGCGUGCGCGAGUGCCGCUUGGUGACGAUUGUCGUUCGCGAUAGUUUCGCUCCUUGCGUUGCGCCGCUGCGUGUCGAAUGCGUGCACUUCUCCUCCUGUAGGACGUCGCGACCCGUUGGGUGUCGGUCUGCGGCUCGCGGUGGAGCCCGUACGUCGGUUUCGGCCGUGCGUGCGGACCCGUGGUGUCCUGGCCGACUGCUCGACGGUAGCAUGAAGGCGCAAAGCCGCGACUAGCUCGCGUUCGACCUAGCGCAAGCGCGUUCGGUUAUUCGUUAUUCGGACUUGUGCCGAUCUCGAAGCCGAGCGGCUGUUGGCGUUGGUGUUCCCGGACAGACUUUGUACACGCCUGUCAGCGGCGCUAUAGCUUUGGGUACUUUCAGGACCCGUCUUGAAACACGGACCAAGGAGUCUAGCAUGUGCGCGAGUCAUUGGGACUAUCGAAUCCUAAAGGCGAAAUGAAAGUGAAUGUAAAACCUAGUUUUGCAGAGGGAAGAUGGGCAGCAUGAGUUGCCUCGCACUCCCGGGGCGUCUCGUUCUCAUUGCGAGAUGAGGCGCACCUUGAGCGUACAUGCUGGGAACCGAAAGAUGGUGAACUAUGCCUGGUCAGGACGA